ACAACUUUGCUGCUGCCUUUGCUGUUUUGUUUUUCAAUUUCGCCGGGCGAAACUUUGCCGAAUACAUCUCAAAAGCAGCAACAGCAGCAGCAGCAGAAGCAGCAGCAGAAGCAGCAGAAGCAGCGACAACAGCAACAACAACAAAGACGUGCAAAGUUUCUAUUAAAACGGAUUUAAUUAUGUAAUGGAAUCAUGAUAAAUUUCGCGCAACGUGAAAAGUGUUGGCCAAGGCUGCCAGCCAAGUACCUGGCACAAAGGCCGACGCAACCAGAACCAAAACAAGACCCAGAAACAGCAACAACACAAGAACACAGCAGCAGCUAAAACGGAAGCCCAACAACUUGGAACAAGAUGAAUAGAUAGAUGGAUAGGCAGACAGCAGCUAUAUGCUACAAAUCAUACGAUUUCGACAGAAUUUAAAAAUGGAUUAAUACAAAUUCUAUGUGACCCGUUAUAUUUCUUUCGCUGCGUUACAUAUUUCAUGAAAAAUUAAGAACACCUUCUGCAAUAGUAUUUAAAGUGAAAGUUGUUCUAAUAUAGCUUAUUUGCCUGCUGCUUAUAGAUGAGACUUAAAUAAUCAUUCUGUUGUAUAUCUUAUUGCGGUGAUGUGCGGUGUGUGAAGUCUGACAUCAAAUAAUCUUGCAUGGGCAUGUUAAGUUAAGGACACUGCCAGUCACAAUCGAUUGCUUCAAAAAACCAAAGAAAUCUAAUCUUAAAUAGUAUGGAAAAGGAUCAAAAUUAUAUUUUCGCAUAUCUUACAGCAUAUUCAACAAGUCCCUGGCUGAGAACCAACAUGACUUGGCCAGCCCAGCUGGUUAACUGGUUAUAAAAAACUAGACCAUGCAUAUAGAGCGAAAAACCUUUCAGAUUACAAAAUUCGGAGAACGCGUGUAUUCAUUAUGGCAUAAACUUCCAGGAGAGGAAAUCAUCUUCUACUCUGUAUAUUUUUAAGAAAUAUAAAACAAUAAAUAAUCUAAAACACAACGUUUUUGCUAAA
This is a non-coding RNA of Drosophila virilis, 997 nucleotides long. The record is from RefSeq and is a predicted model, not a curated record. Lineage: Eukaryota; Metazoa; Arthropoda; Insecta; Diptera; Drosophilidae.